AUUCUUAGCGCUGGCUCUGGAAUGUACUUGGUUUCCAGAGGACGAGGAGAAGGUUGUCGAGCCGUCAGCGGAUGCCUUCCGGCAUGCUCUGUCGAGAGUCUGUGGUCAAAGCGCAGGGGUGACCCUGCGGACAAAGCUGCAGACA
Molecule: non-coding RNA, 145 nt
Filed under: Candidatus Centipeda massiliensis
Lineage: Bacteria; Bacillati; Bacillota; Negativicutes; Selenomonadales; Selenomonadaceae
Description: glmS glucosamine-6-phosphate activated ribozyme
Rfam family: glmS glucosamine-6-phosphate activated ribozyme aptamer
About the family: This entry contains a glucosamine-6-phosphate activated ribozyme that is found in the mRNA for GlmS.
Source: RNAcentral